Molecule: microRNA precursor, 207 nt
Filed under: Oryza glumipatula
Lineage: Eukaryota; Viridiplantae; Streptophyta; Magnoliopsida; Poales; Poaceae
Description: MIR812 microRNA precursor family
Rfam family: MIR812 microRNA precursor family
Source: Rfam by way of RNAcentral
UAAAAGUUGAUUCGUAGGUUUCCAUGUCUAAUUUUUAACUGUCUAUUUUAUAUGAAAUUUUUUUAAUUAAUAUUUUUAUUUUUAUUAGAUGAUAAAAUAUGAAUGGUAGUACUUUAUACGGAACUUAUGUUUUCAAAUUUUUUCAUAUUUUUUUAAAUAAAACGGACGAUUAAAGUUUGUAUACGGAAACACACGAAUCAAUUUAUU